CUACGGGGCGCUCCAGUGGGGAAUAUUGGACAAUGGGCGCAAGCCUGAUCCAGCAAUGCCGCGUGUGUGAAGAAGGCCUUCGGGUUGUAAAGCACUUUUGUUAGGGAGGAAAGUCUGGUAGCUAAUAACUGCUAGAUCUGACGUUACCUAAAGAAUCAGCACCGGCUAACUCUGUGCCAGCAGCCGCGGUAAUACAGAGGGUGCAAGCGUUAAUCGGAAUUACUGGGCGUAAAGGGUCUGUAGGCGGAUUAUUAAGUCGGAUGUGAAAUCCCCGGGCUCAACCUGGGAACGGCAUUCGAUACUGGCAGUCUAGAGUGUGGAAGAGGAGGGGGGAAUUCCUGGUGUAGCAGUGAAAUGCGUAGAGAUCAGGAGGAACAUCGAUGGCGAAGGCAGCUCUCUGGGGCAACACUGACGCUGAGGGACGAAAGCGUGGGGAGCAAACAGGAUUAGAUACCCGGGUAGUC
This 464-nucleotide ribosomal RNA is filed under the name uncultured bacterium. RNAcentral describes it as "partial 16S ribosomal RNA". It matches the Rfam family "Bacterial small subunit ribosomal RNA", at positions 339 to 795 of the family's 1533-position model. The record is from RNAcentral.